GGGUCAGUAGGUUGGUCGUGCCACCGGUACGUACUGGUCUCACUGAUUCCUCCUUCCUGAAGAACCGUAAUGCCAUUAAUUUGGUGUUGCGGGGAAACAGGACUGUUACUUUGAAAAAAUUAGAGUGUUUAAAACAAGCUAGCGCUUGAAUACAUUAGCAUGGAAUAAUGAAAUAGGACGAUCGAUCCUAUUUUGUUGGUUUCUAGGAUUGACGUA
Molecule: ribosomal RNA, 216 nt
Filed under: Glomeromycotina sp.
Lineage: Eukaryota; Fungi; Glomeromycota
Description: partial small subunit ribosomal RNA
Rfam family: Eukaryotic small subunit ribosomal RNA (bases 40-216)
Source: RNAcentral